CGCGUAGGUGGUUUGUUAAGUUGGAUGUGAAAGCCCCGGGCUCAACCUGGGAACUGCAUCCAAAACUGGCAAGCUAGAGUACGGUAGAGGGUGGUGGAAUUUCCUGUGUAGCGGUGAAAUGCGUAGAUAUAGGAAGGAACACCAGUGGCGAAGGCGACCACCUGGACUGAUACUGACACUGAGGUGCGAAAGCGUGGGGAGCAAAACA
This 208-nucleotide ribosomal RNA is filed under the name uncultured bacterium. RNAcentral's name for it is "partial 16S ribosomal RNA". It matches the Rfam family "Bacterial small subunit ribosomal RNA", at positions 568 to 775 of the family's 1533-position model. The record is from RNAcentral.